GGUCGAUUAGCUCAGUUGGUAAGCUCAUCACAACACACCUUGAUCUCGAUCAUAUCCUAACUCAUCAUAGGUUAGAGCGUGGUGCUAAUAUCGUAUGUUAACGCCAAGGCCGCGGGUUCGACCCCCGUAUUGACCA
Lophium mytilinum is the source of this 136-nucleotide non-coding RNA. The record is from the annotation of a GenBank genome assembly. NCBI's taxonomy places the organism in Eukaryota, Fungi, Ascomycota, Dothideomycetes, Mytilinidiales, Mytilinidiaceae.